This is an RNA transcript of Electrophorus electricus (electric eel), 2476 nucleotides long. RefSeq lists it as uncharacterized. The record is from RefSeq and is a predicted model, not a curated record. Lineage: Eukaryota; Metazoa; Chordata; Actinopteri; Gymnotiformes; Gymnotidae.
UUGGUUUGUAACGCAGGAUGAGGUUUUUGUUGUUGUUGUUUUUAAAAGAUUGCCAAUAUUAAAUCUACGUUUUGAAUCGGAUUAAAUCCGAUUGUAGUUGGCCAAACUCUCGGGUGUAGAAAGAGAGCAAGGAUGAGUAUUCCUCCGCGAAAUACCACAAUCCCCGACGGACUGGCAAUAUUGCUCGAAGCAUUAAGUCGCGCUGCGUUCAGACAUCACCCAGAGAAUCUCAUAGACUUCGCUUCGCUGUUUUUCGAUGAGCUCCGCCAGUUCAGGUCCAGUAAGUGGAAGGAUGGAGUUCCAACAGAUUUUGAUCACUUACCCCCGAUGUUAAAUGAGAAGGAUUUGUGUUUUUUGUUUUUGUUUUUGUUUUUCUGUAGAAAAUACAGGUCUAGAUAUGGAUAAUCUAAUUAAAGAAUUCAGAAGAACUAAAGGUGGUAAAUUUUACCAAAAAAGCCAGGCCUCGUGUGCUCAGGCUAAUGGCCCACUUCCUGAAGACACCCAGGGCCCUGUCCCAGUCUUUCCAAGCACACAAGCACCACCCACCAUCCCAGACACAAGAGCAGACACUUCUGACGCAUCUUCCUUCAGUGGCUCUGAGGAGAGGGGCCUUGACGAGGUCCUCUCUGCCACCAUUAUCACCUUGUCUCCAGGCCUCUUCAACCCUGAGACAGCCCAAAGCGUGGCUGUGUUUCAGCGGGCGUGUGAUCCAGAGGAGAGCAGCGUGCCCCCAGCCAGCGACGCCGCCGCGCGUCACCGGCCCUCCUUGGCACUCUUCGAGCGGGUCUCCCUACGGAACCUCACCUCCGAAGUGGAAGCUCAUCUUAUCCAGACCUCCAGAGUCCCCAGUGAGCCCAUGAUCAUUGUGCAGACCCAAGACAUGCCAGAGAUGAUUGUGUUCCAGGCUGCACCCGCUUUACCCGGAGACGUGGCAGAGGACGCGUGUCCGUCUUUGGACACUGACAUGGGGGCGAUGCCCGAUGGCCCGGAAAGUGCACCUGGUCAAACGAUGCCCUUUACAGACACAGAGGAAGCCGUCAUGGCACUAAUACAGCAAUGUGUGACAUUUGAUCCUGUGUGUACUGAAGUAACUGCUGACCAGCCUGAGGAUGUGCCCCCUAUGCCUGCAGAAACUAGUUUGUCAGCACCGGAACAUCCACAGAACCUGGUGCCAGUACACAGGGACACAGCACCUACUAUAGACACGGAUGCGGCUGUGCGCUUUGAGACCACCUCAUCUCCGAUAUCUGUUGGAGCAGCUGAUCAUUAUCCAACAUUUUCACGUCAGUCACACGUCACUGACGCAGUGCUUUCUCCUUGUCCUCCUCGGUUCCUCGUGAGAACUCCUAUUCCACUCGCAACUUCAUCAGAGGAGUCCAAGUUGACUGUGGAGAUUACUGACACACACCCAAAUAGCCCUACAGCGCCCCCUGCAGAUUCAUUAGUGGACAUGUACAUAAAACGCCAUCACUCGUCUUCGGCCCCUAAGCAAGCUGACUGCACAGCAGUCUUGGAGGACCUUCCGUUUCCCAUCGUGCCCAGUUUGGAGUACCAGACCAGCUUGGUCCCAGAAAUGACUCUGGUCUCAGCUCAAGUGUCCUGCAUGCCUGCCGUCAUCCAGGAUGACCCUCGGUUCCACACGGCGCAGUGGCUUUCACAGUACCAGGAUGGAGUUUCCAUGGUGACAGGCAAUGCGGCAUUGGCUGGUCAGCCAGUCUACGGGGAGCCGGAAAACCCUCAGCAGCAAGCAUGCGCCCCAAACUACACUCACAAAGCAGGGUAUCUCAGACUGUCCGGUGCUACAGCUCCAGUACUUGGUGCUGAGGUGUCCACAGGUCCAUGUGUGGACUAUGCCUGCCCUGCCAGCUGUGGGCGACUGUGUCGCCCGGGCCGCCACGACCCGCGCGGCAGGCUCCGGGCCCCUGUGAAUGUGCCCGCUCGCGGCCUGUCGCACCUCAGCUUCCCUGGAUGGCAGGACUGCGGCCACUUCUGUAGCUGCCACUGCCACCCCCAUGACCGGCGGCAGAGCCGCGCCUCCCCUGGGUACCUGGACGUCCCCCCCUCGGCCAACGCUGCGCCCGAGGGUGAGACGCUUGCCCCCUUCCUGCCCACACCCUCCUGCUCCGUGGACUUUGUGUGCUGCCACGGCUGCUGCGUGUCUGCGAAUGUAUCCCGCUGCGGUCAGACACAGCGCCCCCUGCUGACACGCUAUCACAGUGCCCAGCACAAGCGCUGUUCCCGGAACGAGCUGAGCAAUGUGGACUCAUCUGGUUGUGCCCACACCUGCCACCAGGGGGUGCCAGAGUCUGGACAAGAAAAAACUCGUGCAGAAUGAGGCUUGCUGCUGCUGCAUCACAUCAACAGAUCACUAUUGUUCUGCUGAACUGAAGAGGAAGGGCAGAUUUUGUGAUGUUACUGAAUGCCUCCCUCCUUUACGAAGAGGAGAUCUAGGGCUAGGCGGUUCUGCAAGACAGCG